GAAGACAGUACUACCCAGGGGGAGAUUUGCAAGUUUAUCUCUCCUGGAGCUAUCUGUCUGCAUUUCAAAGGGUUGUAAAUAGGUGGAGACCUUCUUCUCUUCCCAGAGAGGAUUUGUUUACCUUAGAGAGGAAAGGUCUGUUUCCUUCUCCUGCAGAGGAGCAGGCGGCUGCUGUGUGCCAGUUUCUGCAUAUAUGGGGGCUCCUAAUUCCAGGGUUCCCCUCCUGAAGGACUCCUCUGUACAUUAAGGGUGAACAUCUGCUCUUAUCACAUUGCUGCUCAGAGGGAAAAUGGAGCCUGGGGGACCCACACUGUUAUUGCUGAGGGUCAGUCAUCUAGUUUGCAUACUGCCGGAAACAGAAAUUUCAUCUUAGUGUCCUGCUGCAAGAGGACGUGUCUUCUGAGACCUCUUGGUAGGUGUUGGUGGGGAAGUGAAUAGGUCAUGCUUAAUAGAGCUACUCCAGGGUCCCUACGUCCCU
RNAcentral lists this long non-coding RNA (478 nucleotides) under Mustela putorius furo (domestic ferret). Its description in RNAcentral is "lncRNA (ENSMPUG00000028785.1)". Lineage: Eukaryota; Metazoa; Chordata; Mammalia; Carnivora; Mustelidae. The record is from RNAcentral.